Molecule: long non-coding RNA, 363 nt
Organism: Ornithodoros turicata
Lineage: Eukaryota; Metazoa; Arthropoda; Arachnida; Ixodida; Argasidae
Exons: 2
Source: RefSeq, a predicted model, not a curated record
UCGCGUUGUGUAGCGGUUGUGUUGGACUAUGAGUUGUGAUUUUUCCUGUUUAAAAACGCAAGCUGGAUCAUGUGAGCGUCCUCGAACAGUCACAGCUGCCAGGGAAGAUGCCUGCGCAACAUUUGUGCUCUGCUUCUUGGUGUAGAAACUAUUCGAGUGUCCGAACGCCUCGUACCCGAUAUCUGGUCAACGACUGCCGAGAGCCACUGAGCUCCAGUUCCCAGUAGCAGUCCUUGCCAGAGGCAGUCCGACAUUAUCAGGCUUCUUCAAGCAAAUUCUGGAGCAAUGUUAAUGUCAUCCUGUGUACAUCUUGCUUGCAUAACCGUAUGUCGCACAAUAAAAUACUUCAUGUGACAAAAACAA